Molecule: long non-coding RNA, 689 nt
Filed under: Eucalyptus grandis
Lineage: Eukaryota; Viridiplantae; Streptophyta; Magnoliopsida; Myrtales; Myrtaceae
Description: long non-coding RNA (EGRA_LNC001821)
Source: RNAcentral
UCAUCAAUUUUAUACGUCAUUGGAAACCAAAUUACAACACUAACUAUGCCUGCACAAGGUUUCCAAGAAGGCGGAUUCACAAGAAGAAAUGGAACCAAGCACAUCCUAUAGACUUUUCUCAGCACAACCAACAAGCACCCAAUGGAAUUUAACUGUCCUUGCUGGAAGGCACAGCAAUUCGUUGCAGCAAAUUUCCAAGAAACCAGACGACCCCAAUUCACAAGAAGAAAUGGAAACAAGCACAUCCUAUAGACUUUUCUCAGCACGACCAACAAGCACCCAAUGGAAUUUAACUGUCCUUGCUGGAAGGCACAGCAGUUCGUUGCAGCAAAUUUCCAAGAAACCAGACGACCCCAAUUCACAAGAAGAAAUGGAAACAAGCACAUCCUAUAGACUUUCCUCAGCACGACCAACAAGCACCCAAUGGAAUUUAACUGUCCUUGCUGGAAGGCACAGCAGUUCGUUGCAGCAAAUUUCCAAGAAACCAGACAACCCCAAUUCAUUAUAAAAAGAUCCUACUUCUUUCAAGUAAUGAUACCGGCUUUUUCAUCGUUAUGUGAAUACCACCUUCCAUGCUAGUAGAUUUUUCUCCGCCGAUUGAUAAUUCUCCUAUUUCGACCUAACUUUCCAGAGAUUAAUUUACCCACAUGACAGAGAUUAUAAAGGAGAGAGAAGAGAGCAACUAUUAC